AAUGAUGCAGUGGAUGUGAAGUGGAUGUGAAGGGGUGAAGGGAUACUGUACUGUACUGCUGUAUAAUCUACAUUUAUAAUAGGUGGUAUUUGAUUGCUUUGUAUAUUACAUUAUUUUAAACAGGUUAGAAUUGUGUAUUUAUGUCUUCAUCUUUAUAUAUUUUUUAAAACAUUGACAUUUUCUAAGAGGAUGUCUGAGUAAUGUCAAGCAGACUGUAGUUUUUAUUUUUCACCAGCAGGUGGCAGUUAUUUACCACUAAACUGAAUGGAAUGGCAGGUCUUUAUGCACUAUACUGUACAGAGCGCCUUGGGAAUAGCACAUUGGUGCUUCUGUCACUUCUGAAACUACUCUACUGUGUUCUUGCGUCUGUAAUUUAUAGCAAAGUAUAUUGAAUUAUGAAUUCAAUAUCAUUUGCUAUAGGAGGGAGCACCCCACUAUCCACAUCGACGGGACCGCAGUGAGGAAGGUGGAAAGCUUCAAGUUCCUCGGCGUACACAUCACUGACAAACUGAAAUGUUCCACCCGCACAAACAGUGUGGUGGAGAAGGCACAACAGCAAUUUUUUUUCUGUCUUGGCACCUAAAGCCCUCACAAACUUUUACAGAUGUACAAUUGAGAGCAUCCUGUUGGGCUGUAUCACCGCCUGGUACGGCAACUGCACCGCCCACAACUGCAGGGCUCUCCGGAGGGUGGUGCGGUCUGCCCAACGCAUCACCGGGGGCAAACUACCUGCCCUUCAGGACACCUAAGGCUACCAAUGUCAGAGUAAGGCCAAAAAGAUCAUCAAGGACAACAACCACCGAGCCACUGCCUGUUCACCCCGCUAUCAUCCAGAAGGCAAGAUACAGGAGGCCAGGGUGCAUUGGAAGACACCUGUGAGUGAGCAGCACGAGCCAGCUAGCACUCUGGCAGUGGAGCCAACGCCUCAGUGGGAAACCCGACUUCAUCUCCUCUUUAGAAACAUUGCCUAGGAGCCCAAAACACAGCCACCCUGACAGGAAGGGAGAGAUACAGGGGCCAAUACUGGAGUUUACUUAUAUCAUGUGCUGAACACCCUUUCAUUCCCUUAAUAUGCUGCAGUCACAGCAAGGACACAAAUUAGAUGAGCCCUGGUAUGUCUCCACACCGCAUGCCACGGAGGAUGACAGAUAUUCUCAUGGGAAAUGUGGGUAUGUCUGUUCUGUACUUGUCUCUUACUUUUGCUGUUUGUCACAUAUUUGCGUUUCUCACACAUCCACGCACGCACGCACGCACACACGCACACACACACACACACACACACACACAGUCUUCUACUUUAGGCUAUUCCAUUCCGUUGCCCAAUUGCCAAACAGCAAGGGAGUCCUGCCUCUCUACAGCAGGGCAGGGACCAUGCAGGCUUUUAUAUCCUCCACCCAUCCAGGCAGGCGAGGAUGCUGCUGAGGACAUGUGUGCCUGUGUGUGUGUGUCUGUGUGUGGGUGGGUGUGUGUGUAUAUGUGUGUGCACGUGCAUGUUUGUUUGUCUAUUCUAUCUUACUUUCACAGAAACAGAUAGAGAAGGAGAUAGAGAGAGAGCGAGAAUGAAAAAGAGAGAGAGAAACUCUUCCCCUCUCUCUUCCCAACCCAGCACCAGGGUCCAGCCUGAUUUUCAGAUUUUCACAGCUGGGGGCAACUGACUCACCUGUCUCCUCUCCUCCCUCCAUCCUUCCAUUCAGGCCUGGCCCACAUCACAAUCUCCUGAGAAUGAAAAAGAGAGAGAGAAACUCCUCCCCUCUCUCUUCCCAACCCAGCACCAGGGUCCAGCCUGAUUUUCAGAUUUUCACAGCUGGGGGCAACUGACUUACCUGUCUCCUCUCCUCCCUCCAUCCUUCCAUUCAGGCCUGGCCCACAUCACAAGCCAGCUGUGAGGCUACAAUCAAACAAUCUCCUGCAGGGUGGGCCUCUUGGGGAACACUGACAUCAGUGCCUAGGAAUGAGCUAAUAUGCUCCAAUAAUGAGGCAUGGGUAAAUCUGGGAACUAAAUCAGUUUUCUGCAUUAUUUAAACCUGGGUCUGCCUGGUAUCUUUACUCAUACCGUUCAAGCUAGAUAUACAUCAAAAUAUAAAUCAAAGUUGUUGCGAAUGGUAUUCCACUUUCCAGAGAAGGAAGGUCAAAUGUCAAUAUUUUGCCUCAACUACAGUAUGGUAUAAUUCUGGAGAUUCCCCUGGGCAGGAAACAUCUCAAGUGUACUGCAUGUGGGCUACAUACAUGCGUGCAAGUAUACAGGCAUGCACUCCGUCAUGCGUGUAAUAUCAUGCAAUAUUUUGUCUCAGCAGAAAUGUCAUACUGUAGUAUAGUGAAGUGGUCACAUCUCUAGUGCACAGCACAGUGUGUAGGCUACCUACACACAUGAAUGCAAGCAUACAUACAGACAUGCAGGCACAACAUCUCUUAAGACAACACACACAUGACUAUGACACAUAUCAGCCCGUGUAGCUAAGUAACACGGCAGGGUACAGUAUUCUGCACUACCAUGGUGCGUUUGCCAUUUGUUAUUCCCCGUCCACCGCAGGGUUGCCAUCCAUGCUCUACUUUACGGUGCAGCAAACAGGUAUGUCUCCAGCCAGCUACAGUCUGAGUGCAUGUGUGUUAUGGCGGGGAGGUGGAGGACACCCCCCCGUAGCCAGACGGAGAGCGCUUCAGUAAUGUCAGCCACUUCAUUAAGGGGAGAGUGGAUUUGAUGGCAGUGACAUAGGGAGAGGUGGCUGGUACUCUGGCUGGCUUUGAGGAACUCCAGUAUCAACUCUCUGUGUAUUUUUCCAUUCGGUCCAGAUCUGGCCCAGCCCUUGCCCUACCUCGGCCCGGAGUAAAACCCAUCUGAACCCAACUGUGACAGCUGAGCUAAUUACCGUCCUCAAAUCCCACAAGGCUGACAGGCCCGUUAGCUCCCAGAUUUACACUUUGAAUCCCAUCAUCCGUUUCAACAUCAUUUUGCUCAUACUAGGUGUUUUUGGCCAGCUAUACAGCAAUAUCCAGCAUCCAACACCAUCCUCGGUUAAAAGAAUCCCAUACGCUGAUAGGUUCGGUUGUCACAAAGGAGUGUUUGCAAUCAAUGGUGAACAUGCACGGACAUAUUAAUACAUUGUUUCAUGAGGGUGCUUCUGCAAAGGAAACCCCCUCCCUGGAGUCACACACAAUUUUCUGUUUUUUUUUUGUAAAAAUGACCAUUGAACAACAGGAAAUAUUACAGACUGUGGCUUUAUUGAAGAAUCACUU
This is a long non-coding RNA of Salvelinus fontinalis (brook trout), 3234 nucleotides long. RefSeq lists it as uncharacterized. The transcript is spliced from 3 exons. Lineage: Eukaryota; Metazoa; Chordata; Actinopteri; Salmoniformes; Salmonidae. The record is from RefSeq and is a predicted model, not a curated record.